UCCUACUGCAGGGCCAUGAGCGGUCCAUUACGCAGAUUAAGUAUAACCGCGAAGGAGACCUCCUCUUUACUGUGGCCAAGGACCCUAUCGUCAAUGUAUGGUACUCUGUGAAUGGUGAGAGGCUGGGCACCUACAUGGGCCAUACCGGAGCUGUGUGGUGUGUGGACGCUGACUGGGACACCAAGCAUGUCCUCACUGGCUCAGCUGACAACAGCUGUCGUCUCUGGGACUGUGAAACAGUCUGGAGAGGUGUUGGUGAAUGUUAAGGAGCACUCCCGGCAGAUCAACGACAUCCAGUUAUCCAGGGACAUGACUAUGUUUGUGACCGCGUCCAAGGACAACACAGCCAAGCUUUUUGACUCCACAACUCUUGAACAUCAGAAGACUUUCCGGACAGAACGUCCUGUCAACUCAGCUGCCCUCUCCCCCAACUAUGACCAUGUGGUCCUGGGCGGUGGUCAGGAAGCCAUGGAUGUAACCACAACCUCCACCAGGAUUGGCAAGUUUGAGGCCAGGUUCUUCCAUUUGGCCUUUGAAGAAGAGUUUGGAAGAGUCAAGGGUCACUUUGGACCUAUCAACAGUGUUGCCUUCCAUCCUGAUGGCAAGAGGUAGGGUCCCAGUGAAGCAGCUGACCUAAGCCUGG
This 643-nucleotide small RNA is filed under the name Pan troglodytes (chimpanzee). RNAcentral's name for it is "processed transcript". The record is from RNAcentral. Lineage: Eukaryota; Metazoa; Chordata; Mammalia; Primates; Hominidae.